Molecule: long non-coding RNA, 949 nt
Filed under: Homo sapiens (human)
Lineage: Eukaryota; Metazoa; Chordata; Mammalia; Primates; Hominidae
Description: non-protein coding LRRC75A-AS1:84
Source: RNAcentral
GGAUUGGGAUAUUCCGACUCCUUAAGGGCCUGGCGCACAUAAGGUGUGACCUUUUCAUUCCCGUUGUUAUGGAGGGCCACAUCUGCCAGAGCCUGGAGUCUGCGAAGGCCGGGACCCGGUUCCCCGGCCCACAGUGGGGGUGUGCAAACCCGAGAGAACUGGGUUGCAAAUUCGUGAAGAAUCAGCAUCAUGUUUGGCAGCUGAGUAUUGGAGCCAGGAGCCUGCCAUGAGGUUUUGAGAACAGAGUGCUGUUUUAGAGCUGGCAGCAGCAUCUCAGCCCAAGAGAAGGUUAUAUUCCCAGAGGAUGUCAGUCCCAAGGACCAGUAGCUGCCAUCAGUUUGGAUUCUGAAAACUAACUGGCAUCAACACUGGGUGUAGAAACAUGCUUGCCUUAUGUAUCAGAGGACAUGCUCAGCAGAUCCAAGAGAUAUAUUUGGCAACUUUUUCUAGAAAAGGCACAUUGGGUAUCAUUCAUUACAUUCUUGAGUUUUUUUGGGUUUUUUUUUUUUUUUUUGAGACAGUCUUGCUGUAUUGCCCAGGCUGGAGUGUGGUGGCACAAUCACAGCUCAUUGCAUCCUCAAUCACCCAGGCCUAAGCAAUCCUCCCACCUUGUAGCUGGGACUACAGCUCACAGCACACCUGGCUAAAAUUUUUUUUUUGUUGAGACGGAUUCUCUAUGUUGCCCAGGCUGGUCUCAGGCUCCUGGGCUCAGAUGGUCCUCCUGCCUCAGCUUCCAAAGGCACAGGCCAAGUUGUAGCUUUGUCCCUUGCCAUCAUGCCCAACAAGAGGUUCUAUACCUUUUAAUGAAUUGACUUUCAUAAAUUGGUUAUGUUGGUGGGCAAAGUUCUUUAAGCUGGAAAUUGUAAAUUCCUCCUGAAAUGUUUUUUCAUGCAGUUACCAUGAACUAAUACUACAAUAAAGGAUGGUCUUGGGUGUCAAUUCUUGAAAA